AGUGAAAGAAGUGUUUAUCGUGAUUUUCUUAUAAUUUUCUCUCAUCAGGAAAUAAGAAGAUGCCGAGAAAUUACAUUCGAAAGGGUGAUCGCCUAAAGUACUCGCCAGAUGACCUAAAAAAUGCUUUGCGGGCUGUCAAAGAAGAGAAAAGGAAAAUCAGAGAAGUCGGAAGAAGUUUCAACAUUCCAGAGG
Long non-coding RNA from Homalodisca vitripennis (glassy-winged sharpshooter), 192 nucleotides. RefSeq lists it as uncharacterized. The record is from RefSeq and is a predicted model, not a curated record. Lineage: Eukaryota; Metazoa; Arthropoda; Insecta; Hemiptera; Cicadellidae. The transcript is spliced from 2 exons.